Molecule: unclassified non-coding RNA, 250 nt
Filed under: plant metagenome
Description: partial contains small subunit ribosomal RNA, internal transcribed spacer 1, and 5.8S ribosomal RNA
Source: RNAcentral
GUAGGUGAACCUGCGGAAGGAUCAUUAACAAAAAAUCUGGUGGCUUCGUGCCACCAAGACCGCCAAUUUCGGCGGUGUCCCGGAGGUUCCCUGGGCUCUCUGAGGCUCUUGAAGCCUCGGUUCCUGGGGGGGAGACCAAUGGGACAUUACACCCGAGGGCCUUCUCUUUUGAGGAGGGGCCCGAGGUGGUCGGCCUCUCCAGGGCGUAUAACUCUGGGGAAGCGGGCUUGGUAUGUUUGUUGGGAGUCGC